RNAcentral lists this unclassified non-coding RNA (316 nucleotides) under Hevea brasiliensis (rubber tree). The record is from RNAcentral. Lineage: Eukaryota; Viridiplantae; Streptophyta; Magnoliopsida; Malpighiales; Euphorbiaceae.
AAAAACAUCAGCACUCAACACACAGCCAAUGAUGUUGCCAAGGUGAGGAACGUUGUUGACAUAUGGAAGAGCGCUGGUGAUGAGAAUGUUCCUCUUUCCUGGAAUAGGAAGCUUUGUGGUCUUGGUUCCGGCGGCGGCGCCUGAAACGUCUCCCAUCUUUAUUAAUCCGCCGGGAAAUCAAAGGCUCCUCCUAGCAAGAACGAAUUCUUCCUCGUUCAGAUGGCUUCACCGGCGAGAAUCGAGAUGAUGAAUAAAAGAAAAGGAAGAAAUUAGGAGCUGUGCGAGUUGGAAACAACGACGGCGUUACAACUUACAA